CAGAGGGGGCAAGCGUUGUCCGGACUGACUGGGCGUAAAGCGCACGCAGGCGGUUGUGGGCGUCGGUGCUGAAAGUCCACUGCUUAACAGUGGGAUGCGUGCCGAUACGCCAUAACUGGAGCGAUGCAGAGGCCAGUGGAAUUGCCGGCGUAGUGGUGAAAUGCGUAGAGAUCGGCAGGAACACCCAAGGGGAAGCCAGCUGGCUGGGCAUUUGCUGACGCUCAUGUGCGACAGCGUGGGGAGCGAACUGGAUUAGAUACCCAGGUAGUCCACGCCGUAAACGAUGGAUGCUCGGUGUCUGGUGGGUAAUCAGUCCCGCUGGGCGCCUCAGCUAACGCGCAAGCAUCCCGCCUGGGAACUACGAGCGCAAGCUUA
Molecule: ribosomal RNA, 375 nt
Filed under: uncultured organism
Description: bacterial SSU rRNA
Rfam family: Bacterial small subunit ribosomal RNA
Source: RNAcentral